GGACUGCGUGUGCGUAUACAUGCAGUCGUACAAGGUAGCCGUUAUUGAUGGUGCUUGCACCUGAUUGAUUUUGGUCGCCAACGAGUGGCGGACGGGUGAGUAACACGUAGGUAACCUGCCCAGAAGCGGGGGACAACAUUUGGAAACAGAUGCUAAUACCGCAUAACAACGUUGUUCGCAUGAACAACGCUUAAAAGAUGGCUUCUCGCUAUCACUUCUGGAUGGACCUGCGGUGCAUUAGCUUGUUGGUGGGGUAAUGGCCUACCAAGGCGAUGAUGCAUAGCCGAGUUGAGAGACUGAUCGGCCACAAUGGGACUGAGACACGGCCCAUACUCCUACGGGAGGCAGCAGUAGGGAAUCUUCCACAAUGGGCGCAAGCCUGAUGGAGCAACACCGCGUGAGUGAAGAAGGGUUUCGGCUCGUAAAGCUCUGUUGUUAAAGAAGAACACGUAUGAGAGUAACUGUUCAUACGUUGACGGUAUUUAACCAGAAAGUCACGGCUAACUA
This 507-nucleotide ribosomal RNA is filed under the name Limosilactobacillus fermentum. RNAcentral's name for it is "bacterial SSU rRNA". It matches the Rfam family "Bacterial small subunit ribosomal RNA", at positions 39 to 503 of the family's 1533-position model. The record is from RNAcentral. Lineage: Bacteria; Bacillati; Bacillota; Bacilli; Lactobacillales; Lactobacillaceae.